CAUUAUGCAUCUGCAUUAUGCAUUAACCAGACCUCCCCAAGGAAAGGAAUACCUGCUCAACCAUAAAAAUCUAUUUUUCUUGUCUUGACGUCAACCAUGUAACUCUUUAGAAGAUAACAUUCCUUUCUCCAUCCUGUAAGGGGUCAUGAUGGCCCACCGCUGGCCUCGGACGUGCAGACAUCUUUGGUGGACUUUAUGAGCAGUGUAUCAUUUCCCUUAAAGAUAGCAACUGGUACAGAACAGACUGGCCAGAUGACCGGGGGAGAUACAGGGCCACGCCUAACAGACAUUCUGAGCUUAAGGACGCGCUCGUGACCUUAUCAACGCCCCUCGUUAUAUUAUGUGUAUUCGGCCUAUUUUACAAGACGAUUGUUUCUUUGAUCAAAAAGAACACGAUUGAGCCUCAGAUAAAAUGAAUGACGACUACAGACGACUUGAAAGGAUUGACCAGACGGACAGUUCAGUCAGAUCAGUCACUGUAUCCGAGUAAAACUCUAGGGGCAGGAAGAAGCGGCAAGAGCGGCCCGUUUCCCAGCCCCAUGACAGAGGAGUCAGACUGGGGGUCCCGAGGCCUGGGGUAACAGGGUCCAGUGCAGUCACAUAACCCGAGCCACCCGUCACGGAAAUCCUCGCCACGAAACAGGCUGGUCACGCGGCGCCCUCGGAGACUUGACUGAAGUGAAGACGGAAGAGGAAGGGAUUGUAAAAUAAGGAAUGUUGCCCACCAUCCAGUUCUACAGGAAUGAAGUCAUCACCCACCACCGGCGCUGGCCAGCAACACGCCCUGCAGGAGCUGAGGACAAAGGGCAGGAUGAGGCACCCUGGGAAAGCUGGCAGGACUGGCCUGCAGACCGCGCUCCAGGAGAACAUGCUGUAAACCCGGCUUCCUGCAUCUCCUCAUGCCUAGAAAGGCACGAGAACCAUUGCAAACAUCUUCCACGAGACGUGUGCUCGACUGCACGUACCUCCAUCGGAGGGUACUGGGCUCCCCCUCCCUCUUCAGAAUGGCCCUCGGAACUUUCUGGAACAUUCGGAGUCUCCCAGGUUACAAGACCAGGCCGUGAUGCUGAGAUUCAUGAGACCCGCACUGUGGUUCUCAGCAGCAGCCCCAAGGCACUUCCAGGCUCGUCUUAUCUUUCCACCCCACCGCCGCACCGCCCAACUUGGAGCCCUCCAGGGACGCCCACUACUCUCAGGAAGAAGCCCCCGCUCCCCAGUAUGGCGUGCAAAGCACAGCGGGGAGGCUGCCCCCUGGGAAGGCUCCUGCCCACCCUCUUCCUCACCUGCCUGUGGGGGCGCCUCCUCCCCUGGGCCACUGCUGGGCCUCCCUGGCACCAAGCUCUGGAGUGGGGGGGCCCAUGUCAGGAUGUCAGAUCUAACACAUGAAAAUGUUUGCCUAAAAUAAAAGAACUAUGUCCCUACA
RNAcentral lists this long non-coding RNA (1423 nucleotides) under Bos mutus (wild yak). Its description in RNAcentral is "lncRNA (ENSBMUG00000020288.1)". Lineage: Eukaryota; Metazoa; Chordata; Mammalia; Artiodactyla; Bovidae. The record is from RNAcentral.